GACGAACGCUGGCGGCGUGCUUAACACAUGCAAGUCGAACGGAAAGGCCUUUUCGGAGGUACUCGAGUGGCGAACGGGUGAGUAACACGUGGGUGAUCUGCCCUGCAUUCUGUGAUAAGCCUGGGAAACUGGGUCUAAUACCGGUUAGGACCGCACUUUAGUGUGUGUGGUGGAAAGUUUUUUGGGUGUAGGGUGAGCCCGCAGGCUCUCAGCUUGUUUGGGGGGUAAUGGGCUACCAAGGCGGCGGCGGGCAGCGGGACUGAGGGGGUGGGCGGCCACAUUGGGACCGAGGGAAGGCACAGACGCCUAAGGGUGGCAACAGUGGGGAAUAUUGAACAAGGGGCGCAAGGCUGGUGCAGGAGGGCCGCGGGGGGGAAGACCGGCUUCGGGUUGAAAAAUCGCUUCGCCAGGGACGAAGCGUUUUGUGACGGUACCUGGAGAAGAAGCACCGGCUAACUACGUG
RNAcentral lists this ribosomal RNA (463 nucleotides) under uncultured bacterium. RNAcentral's name for it is "partial 16S ribosomal RNA". It matches the Rfam family "Bacterial small subunit ribosomal RNA", at positions 28 to 507 of the family's 1533-position model. The record is from RNAcentral.